GUCAAGGACUGUCCCUUAGCCUGAGCACCCAGAUACCGGUGCCUUCGUUUCAGUACCGGCCUGGUUCUAUGGACAUCUCGUUUGUGGGUUCUCAUCAGCCGGCUCCAGGAAAUGGUGGGGCAUCCAGGGAUGAUAAUUCUAGAUGCAAAGACAUCAAUUCGGUUUCCUCUACUUAUGUCCUUCCAAGUGUCGGAAGUUCCAUUCCAAAUUCAAAGUAUCUCAAGCCCGCACAACAAUUACUUGAUGAAGUUGUUAAUGUCCGUCAGGCUUUAAAGCACAAA
Molecule: unclassified non-coding RNA, 281 nt
Filed under: Hevea brasiliensis (rubber tree)
Lineage: Eukaryota; Viridiplantae; Streptophyta; Magnoliopsida; Malpighiales; Euphorbiaceae
Source: RNAcentral